This 1502-nucleotide ribosomal RNA is filed under the name uncultured bacterium. RNAcentral describes it as "16S ribosomal RNA". It matches the Rfam family "Bacterial small subunit ribosomal RNA". The record is from RNAcentral.
GACGAACGCUGGCGGCGUGCCUAACACAUGCAAGUCAGGGAGAAAGGGGUAGCAAUAUCCCGAGUAAACCGGCGCACGGGUGAGUAACACGUAGGUAACCUACCUUCUGAAUGGGGACAACCCCGCGAAAGCGGGACUAAUACCCAAUGAUGCAGCGGCUCCACAUGGCGAUGUUGUUAAAGGUUGUAGCUCCGCAAGGAGUUGCAACGUCAGAAGAUGGACCUGCGUCCCAUUAGCUUGUUGGUGGGGUAACGGCCUACCAAGGCAACGAUGGGUAGCUGGUCUGAGAGGACGACCAGCCACACUGGAACUGAGGCACGGUCCAGACUCCUACGGGAGGCAGCAGUGAGGAAUAUUGCGCAAUGCCCGAAAGGGUGACGCAGCGACGCCGCGUGGAGGAUGAAGGCCCUAUGGGUCGUAAACUCCUAAUGGAGAGGAAGAAUGUUCCGCCUUGGGCGGAAUUGACGGUACUCUCUAAGAAAGGACCGGCCAACUACGUGCCAGCAGCCGCGGUAAUACGUAGGGUCCGAGCGUUGUCCGGAAUCACUGGGUGUAAAGGGCGCGCAAGCGGGUGAAUAAGUCGGUGGUGAAAGCUGUUCGCUCAACGGACAAACCGCCGUCGAUACUGUUCAUCUUGAGUGCGGGAGAGGGUGAUGGAAUUCCUGGUGUAGCGGUGAAAUGCGUAGAUAUCAGGAAGAACACCUGUUGCGAAGGCGGUCACCUGGUCCGCAACUGACGCCCAGUGCGCGAAAGCGUGGGGAGCAAACAGGAUUAGAUACCCUGGUAGUCCACGCCCUAAACGAUGGGUACUAGGUGUCGGCCCCGCUCGGUACUUGCGAGACGAGUUCCGAGCGGGGUCGGUGCCGAAGCUAACGCAUUAAGUACCUCACCUGGGGAGUACGAUCGCAAGGUUGAAACUCAAAGGAAUUGACGGGGGCCCGCACAAGCAGUGGAGCAUGUGGUUCAAUUCGAUGCAACGCGAAGAACCUUACCUGGGCUUGAAAGGCAAGUGACAGGUGAUGAAAGUCGCCCUCCCCGCAAGGGGCACUUGUACAGGUGCUGCAUGGCUGUCGUCAGCUCGUGCCGUGAGGUGUUGGGUUAAGUCCCGCAACGAGCGCAACCCCUGUCCUUAGUUGCCAUCAGGUCAAGCUGGGCACUCUAGGGAGACUGCCUACGCAAGUAGUGAGGAAGGUGGGGAUGACGUCAAGUCCUCAUGGCCCUUAUGUCCAGGGCAACACACGUGCUACAAUGGCCGCUACAACGGGUCGCAAUACCGCAAGGUGGAGCCAAUCCCUAAAAAGCGGUCUCAGUUCGGAUUGCAGUCUGCAACUCGACUGCAUGAAGCUGGAAUUGCUAGUAAUCGCGCAUCAGCACGGCGCGGUGAAUACGUUCCCGGGCCUUGUACACACCGCCCGUCAAGCCAUGGAAACUGGGGGUACCCGAAGUCACUGACCGAACCCGCAAGGGGCGGAGGUGCCGAAGGUAAAACCAGCGACUGGGGC